UAUGGAAUCUUCGGCCAUGGACGGAAGUCUGACCGAUCAACGCCGCGUGAGUGAAGAAGGUUUUCGGAUCGUAAAGCUCUGUUGUAAGACAAGAACGAGUGUGAUAGUGGACCGUUCACACUGUGACUGUUCUUANCCAAGCUUUCGGCUAACUACGUGCCUACAGCCGCGAUAAUACGUAUGUCCCGAGCGUUGUCCGGAUUUAUUGGGCGUAUCCCGAGCGCAGGCGGUUAUACCAGUCUGAACUUAAAGGCUGUGGCUUAACCAUAGUACGCUUUGUAAACUGUUUAACUUGAGUGCAAGAGGGGACAGUGGAAUUCCAUGUGUAACGGUGAAAUGCGUACAUAUAUUUACGAACACCGGUGGCGACCUCGGCUCUAUGGCUUGUGCCUGACGCUAAUGCUCCAACGCUUGCUCAGCAAACACGAUUAAAUUCCCUGCUUCUCCGCGCCGUAAACUAUGAGUGCUAGGUGUUAGACCCUUUCCGGGGUUUACUGCCGUAGCUGACGCAUUACGCACUCCGCCUGGGGAGUACGACCGCUCGGUUG
Molecule: ribosomal RNA, 548 nt
Filed under: uncultured bacterium
Lineage: Bacteria
Description: bacterial SSU rRNA
Rfam family: Bacterial small subunit ribosomal RNA
Source: RNAcentral